RNAcentral lists this ribosomal RNA (408 nucleotides) under uncultured bacterium. RNAcentral's name for it is "partial 16S ribosomal RNA". It matches the Rfam family "Bacterial small subunit ribosomal RNA", at positions 28 to 526 of the family's 1533-position model. The record is from RNAcentral.
GACGAACGCUGGCGGCGUGCUUAACACAUGCAAGUCGAACGAAGUCGCGAACGGGUGAGUAACGCGUAAUCAACCUGCCCUUCAGAGGGGGCCAACAGUUGGAAACGACUGCUAAUACCGCAUACUGAAGGAGGGGAUUGCGUCUGAUUAGCUAGUUGGAGGGGUAACGGGCCACCAAGGCCAUGAUCAGGAGCCUGUCCGAGAGGAUGGACGGCCACAUUGGGACUGAGACACGGCCCAGACUCCUACGGGAGGGAGCAGGUGGGAAUCUUCCGCAAUGGACGAAAGUCUGACGGAGCAACGCCGCGUGGGGGAUGAAGGCUUUCGGGUUGUAAAGCUCUGUUAAUCGGGACGCGGUACCGGAAUAGAAAUCCACGGCUAACUACGUGCCAGCAGCCGCGGUAAUUC